RNAcentral lists this transfer RNA (72 nucleotides) under Bacillus cereus. RNAcentral describes it as "tRNA-Ala". It matches the Rfam family "tRNA". From Rfam's summary of the family: Transfer RNA (tRNA) molecules are approximately 80 nucleotides in length. Their secondary structure includes four short double-helical elements and three loops (D, anti-codon, and T loops). The record is from RNAcentral. Lineage: Bacteria; Bacillati; Bacillota; Bacilli; Caryophanales; Bacillaceae. RNAcentral also lists the same sequence under 21 other names.
GGUGGCAUGCCAAUUAGGAAUGGUACAAGGUUAGCAUACCCUUUUAUGUUGGUUCGAAUCCAACUGUCACCU